GCCACAAUGGCCGAGUUGUUAAGGUUUGUAUUGAAGUUCCACAGGAAAAAAGCCCUCGUGGGUUCAAACCCCACUCCUGGUA
Ameiurus melas (black bullhead) is the source of this 82-nucleotide non-coding RNA. The record is from the annotation of a GenBank genome assembly. Lineage: Eukaryota; Metazoa; Chordata; Actinopteri; Siluriformes; Ictaluridae.